Long non-coding RNA from Aphis gossypii (cotton aphid), 679 nucleotides. RefSeq lists it as uncharacterized. Lineage: Eukaryota; Metazoa; Arthropoda; Insecta; Hemiptera; Aphididae. The transcript has 3 exons. The record is from RefSeq and is a predicted model, not a curated record.
CUAUUGAAGAACGUGCGUUUUGAUCGUUAAUUAGUCACAAUGAAAGUUAUGCCGAAACAAUGCACAAUCUUGAAUCUUCGAAGGUCCAUGAAUCGAAAUGUGACGCGUUAUGAGUCAACAGUCCGUCGACUAAUGAAUAAAUUUGUGGAAACUGGCUCAGUGCAAGAUUUUAAAAUUCUUCGUGUUAUUGGUGAACCGAACCGGACCAGGAUAUAUGUCAAUGAAAUCCUAAAGAUCUGUUGUUCAAGAUAAAAAUAAGUUUGGUGGAGAAGACACAAUUUAUGUGUGUGUGCGUGUAUGAGUAUGACAGUACUGGUAUUGGUCUGAAGGGCUUCAGGCCCGUUUCACAAAGCGUGCACAUGUAUGCGUGCUAUUGAAAAUGCGACACUCUUUUGUAUUCACACAUGUACGCGUACCAUACGUCCAUACAUGAAACGCAUAUUAAAGUAACUAGGUGAUAGAAAUAUUGUAAUUUGAGGUUUUACUUCAGUAUGGAUAACACCUAUAACUUACAAUAAUUUAACUAUGAAUAUUCAAAGAGAAAAACGGCUUAUACUUUUUACAAGAUGUCUAUCAGACGUUUUGACGAACUAUUAUACAAACUGAAACCAAAAUUAGAACGUUCAAAUUGUAUCAGAAUCAGAGUACCAAUAACUUCAGCAGAAUGAUUGUGUAUAAC